GCUGAACAUGGUGGUGCAUGCCUGUAAUCCCAGUGACUGGGGAGGCUGAGGCAGGAGGAUCAUGAAUUCCAAGUCAGCAUCAGCAACUUAGUGAGGCCCUAGGCCACUUAGUGAGACCCUGUCUCUA
RNAcentral lists this small RNA (127 nucleotides) under Marmota monax (woodchuck). Lineage: Eukaryota; Metazoa; Chordata; Mammalia; Rodentia; Sciuridae. The record is from RNAcentral.